GAUGAACGCUGGCGGCGUGCUUAACACAUGCAAGUCGAACGAGAGAAGAUCGGUGCUUGCACUGAUCCGAUCGAGUGGCGGACGGGUGAGUAACGCGUGGGUAACCUGCCUCAUACAGGGGAAUAACAGUUGGAAACGGCUGCUAAAACCGCAUAAGCGCACAGUAUCGCAUGAUACAGUGUGAAAAACUCCGGUGGUAUGAGAUGGACCCGCGUCUGAUUAGCUAGUUGGUGAGGUAACGGCCCACCAAGGCAACGAACAGUAGCCGGCCUGAGAGGGGGAACGGCCACAUUGGGACUGAGACACGGCCCAAACUCCUACGGGAGGCAGCAGUGGGGAAUAUUGCACAAUGGGGGAAACCCUGAUGCAGCGACGCCGCGUGAGUGAUGAAGUAUUUCGGUAUGUAAAGCUCUAUCAGCAGGGAAGAUAAUGACGGUACCUGACUAAGAAGCACCGGCUAAAUACGUGCCAGCCGCCGCAGUAA
This 484-nucleotide ribosomal RNA is filed under the name uncultured bacterium. RNAcentral describes it as "partial 16S ribosomal RNA". It matches the Rfam family "Bacterial small subunit ribosomal RNA", at positions 28 to 523 of the family's 1533-position model. The record is from RNAcentral.